CCUACGGGUGGCAGCAGUGAGGAAUAUUGGUCAAUGGGCGGAAGCCUGAACCAGCCAAGUAGCGUGCAGGAUGACGGCCCUACGGGUUGUAAACUGCUUUUAUACGGGAAUAACGCGCCUUACGUGUAGGGCUUUGCAUGUACCGUAUGAAUAAGGAUCGGCUAACUCCGUGCCAGCAGCCGCGGUAAUACGGAGGACCCGAGCGUUAUCCGGAUUUAUGUGGUUUAAGGGGUGCUUAGGUGGAUGGUUAAGUAAGUUGUGAAAGUUUGCGGCUCAAACGUAAAAUUGCAGGUGAAACUGGCAGUCUUGAGUACAGUAGAGGUGGGCGGACUUCGUGGUGUAGCGGUGAAAUGCUUAGAUAUCACGAAGAACUCCGAUUGCGAAGGCAGCUCACUGGACUGCAACUGACACUGAUGCUCGAAAGUGUGGGUAUCAAACAGGAUUAGAUACCCUAGUAGUC
This 460-nucleotide ribosomal RNA is filed under the name uncultured bacterium. Its description in RNAcentral is "partial 16S ribosomal RNA". It matches the Rfam family "Bacterial small subunit ribosomal RNA", at positions 338 to 795 of the family's 1533-position model. The record is from RNAcentral.